GGCGAACGGGUGAGUAAUACAUAAAUAAUCUGCCUCAAUGUCUGGGAUAACUAUUGGAAACGAUAGCUAAUACCGGAUAGCUUGUUAGAAGACAUCUUCUUUCAACUAAAGGAGCGUUCGCUCCGCUUUGAGAUGAGUUUAUGGCGCAUUAGUUAGUUGGCGGGGUAAUGGCCCACCAAGACGAUGAUGCGUAGCCGAUCUGAGAGGAUGACCGGCCACACUGGGACUGAGACACGGCCCAGACUCCUACGGGAGGCAGCAGUAGGGAAUUUUCGGCAAUGGGCGAAAGCCUGACCGAGCAACGCCGCGUGAGUGAUGAAGGCCUUCGGGUUGUAAAGCUCUGUUGUUAGGGAAGAAUGAUCAGGAUAGGAAAUGAUCCUGAAGUGACGGUACCUAACCAGAAAGCCACGGCUAACUACGUGCCAGCAGCCGCGGUAAUACGUAGGUGGCAAGCGUUAUCCGGAAUUAUUGGGCGUAAAGGGUGCGUAGGCGGUUUAGUAAGUCUAAUGUGAAAUUUCAGGGCUCAACUCUGAACUGCAUUAGAAACUAUUAGACUAGAGUGCAGGAGAGGGCAACGGAAUUCCAUGUGUAGCGGUAAAAUGCGUAGAUAUAUGGGAGGAACACCGGUGGCGAAGGCGGUUGCCUGGCCUGUUACUGACACUGAAGCACGAAAGCGUGGGGAGCAAAUAGGAUUAGAUACCCUAGUAGUCCACGCUGUAAACGAUGAAUACUAAGUGUUGGGAUAAAACUCAGUGCUGCAGUUAACGCAAUAAGUAUUCCGCCUGGGGAGUACGCACGCAAGUGUGAAACUCAAAGGAAUUGACGGGACCCCGCACAG
RNAcentral lists this ribosomal RNA (838 nucleotides) under uncultured bacterium. Its description in RNAcentral is "bacterial SSU rRNA". It matches the Rfam family "Bacterial small subunit ribosomal RNA", at positions 97 to 928 of the family's 1533-position model. The record is from RNAcentral.